GGGGGCACGGGGGGCCUACGGGAGGCAGCAGUGGGGAAUUGUUCGCAAUGGGCGCAAGCCUGACGACGCAACGCCGCGUGGAGGAUGAAGAUUUUCGGAUCGUAAACUCCUGUCGAAUGGGACGAAAAGAUUGCGGGUUAACAGCCCGUAGUCCUGACGGUACCGUUAAAGGAAACCCCGGCUAACUCCGUGCC
This 194-nucleotide ribosomal RNA is filed under the name uncultured bacterium. RNAcentral describes it as "partial 16S ribosomal RNA". It matches the Rfam family "Bacterial small subunit ribosomal RNA", at positions 320 to 509 of the family's 1533-position model. The record is from RNAcentral.